GAUGAACGCUGGCGGCGUGCCUAAUACAUGCAAGUCGAGCGAACGGACGAGAAGCUUGCUUUUCUGAUGUUAGCGGCGGACGGGUGAGUAACACGUGGAUAACCUACCUAUAAGACUGGGAUAACUUCGGGAAACCGGAGCUAAUACCGGAUAAUAUUUUGAACCGCAUGGUUCAAAAGUGAAAGACGGUCUUGCUGUCACUUAUAGAUGGAUCCGCGCGGCAUUAGCUAGUUGGUAAGGUAACGGCUUACCAAGGCAACGAUGCAUAGCCGACCUGAGAGGGUGAUCGGCCACACUGGAACUGAGACACGGUCCAGACUCCUACGGGAGGCAGCAGUAGGGAAUCUUCCGCAAUGGGCGAAAGCCUGACGGAGCAACGCCGCGUGAGUGAUGAAGGUCUUCGGAUCGUAAAACUCUGUUAUUAGGGAAGAACAUAUGUGUAAGUAACUGUGCACAUCUUGACGGUACCUAAUCAGAAAGCCACGGCUAACUACGUG
This 497-nucleotide ribosomal RNA is filed under the name uncultured bacterium. RNAcentral's name for it is "partial 16S ribosomal RNA". It matches the Rfam family "Bacterial small subunit ribosomal RNA", at positions 28 to 507 of the family's 1533-position model. The record is from RNAcentral.